RNAcentral lists this long non-coding RNA (963 nucleotides) under Homo sapiens (human). Its description in RNAcentral is "HSALNT0162522". The record is from RNAcentral. Lineage: Eukaryota; Metazoa; Chordata; Mammalia; Primates; Hominidae.
ACUUCAAUCCAGAAUGAUUGCUAAAGCUAUUCCAGCACCUAGAGUCAAAUAAAAAUAUCCCGAGGUGGGAAGGAAAACAUUUGUUUAGGGAAACAUUAAAAACAGGAGAGUGUGUGCCUUGGAGCCAGAGCCCAGAGCCCUGCUGAUGUCCCGGGGCAGAAAUAGCCCGUUUCAUCAUCGGCUCUGGACGACCGCCGCCCGCAUUCCUCGUGGAGCAGAAUAAUCUGCAGCUAGGGGAAGGCCAGGCUGGGUCUCAGGGUGAGAGUUACAGAAGGAUAUGAAAUAAUCGGGGAAGAGGCAAGUUACAGCGGGUAUCCUGAUGCAGACCAUCCCCAGCCAGAAACACAGCCGCAGAACUGAGCCCAAGCUCCAGACCAAAAACUGAGCCCAAGCUCAGGGUCUGCAUGGCCCAGAGCUGGCAUCUGUCCGGGGGACUGGCCCAGGCAAAGUGACCACUGUCAUCCAGUCCAGGAGCUGUGAGCUGCAUGGAAAGAAUGUGAAUGAAGACACAACUCUAAAUGUGGAACCAUGGACGCUAUGUGAGCCAGUGUGCUCCCUAGCCGUCCAGAAAAACAAGGCCCACUUGUACAUUCUGCAAGAGCAUAAAUAAAGCUGUCCUCAGGCGGCGUGCUGUGGUGGCCCAUCCUUGCAGUGGCUUCACUGGCUGCACCCCUCAGCAAGGCCUCUGGAACACUGUGAGGGCAGCACACCCACCCAACAGCGUGGGUAAAAAACGGUCUAGCUAUGGCCUUGCCGCACGUGGUGAUCGCUAACUUAAUUUUGCAGCAAAUUUAAUCUGCUCUGUAUUGGUAUUAAUUAGAAAUGUUCAAAAGCUGGUAAUAAGGGCAGUGCAGAAUGGGUCCUUCAGGCCAAUUUCUGGUUCUGGGUAUUUGAAGCUCAUAUCCCUGCAAAUAACAGGAAGCCACUCACCUGAUUCUUUUAACUUUGCGUCCUGGUUAUAUG